UACAGAGGUCUCAAGCGUUGUUCGGAUUCAUUGGGCGUAAAGGGUGCGUAGGCGGCGCGGUAAGUCGGGUGUGAAAUCUUGGAGCUUAACUCCGAAAUUGCAUUCGAUACUGCCGUGCUUGAGGACUGGAGAGGAGACUGGAAUUCAUGGUGUAGCAGUGAAAUGCGUAGAGAUCAUGAGGAAGACCAGUGGCGAAGGCGGGUCUCUGGACAGUUCCUGACACUGAGGCACGAAGGCCAGGGGAGCAAACGGG
RNAcentral lists this ribosomal RNA (253 nucleotides) under uncultured bacterium. Its description in RNAcentral is "partial 16S ribosomal RNA". It matches the Rfam family "Bacterial small subunit ribosomal RNA", at positions 524 to 776 of the family's 1533-position model. The record is from RNAcentral.